AACUAACGCUGGCGGCGUGCCUAACACAUGCAAGUCGUACGAGAAAGCCGGCUUCGGCUGGUGAGUAAAGUGGCGCACGGGUGAGUAACGCGUGGAUAAUCUGCCCUUAAGUGUGGAAUAACGUACCGAAAGGUGCGCUAAUACCGCAUAAUGCCUGGCAACACAAGUUGUCCGGCCAAAGAAGGCCUCUGUUUACAAGCUUUCGCUUCAGGAUGAGUCCGCGUACCAUUAGCUUGUUGGUGGGGUAAUGGCCUACCAAGGCUGCGAUGGUUAGCUGGUCUGAGAGGAUGAUCAGCCACACUGGAACUGAGACACGGUCCAGACUCCUACGGGAGGCAGCAGUGAGGAAUAUUGCGCAAUGGGGGCAACCCUGACGCAGCAACGCCGCGUGAGUGAGGAAGGCCUUCGGGUCGUAAAGCUCUGUCAGAGUGGGAAGAAAGUAGGAGUAGGGGGACUAAGUAUACGUCCCCAUACCGUUCGACGGUACCCAUCAGAGGAAGACCG
RNAcentral lists this ribosomal RNA (504 nucleotides) under uncultured bacterium. RNAcentral's name for it is "bacterial SSU rRNA". It matches the Rfam family "Bacterial small subunit ribosomal RNA", at positions 29 to 494 of the family's 1533-position model. The record is from RNAcentral.